RNAcentral lists this ribosomal RNA (465 nucleotides) under uncultured bacterium. Its description in RNAcentral is "partial 16S ribosomal RNA". It matches the Rfam family "Bacterial small subunit ribosomal RNA", at positions 338 to 795 of the family's 1533-position model. The record is from RNAcentral.
CCUACGGGGGGCAGCAGUAGGGAAUCUUCGGCAAUGGGGGCAACCCUGACCGAGCAACGCCGCGUGAGUGAAGAAGGUUUUCUGAUCGUAAAGCUCUGUUGUCAGAGAAGAACGUGUGUGAGAGUGGACAGUUCACACAGUGACGGUAACUUACCAGCAAGGGACUGCUAACUACGUGCCAGCAGCCGCUGUAAUACGUAGGUCCCGAGCGUUAUCCGGAUUUAUUGGGCGUAAAGCGAGCGCAGGCGGUUGGAUAAGUCUGAAGUUAAAGGCUGUGGCUUAACCAUAGUAUGCUUUGGAAACGGUUCAACGUGAGUGCAGAAGGGGAGAGUGGAAUUCAAUGUGUAGCGGGGGAAUGCGUAGAUAUAUGGAGGAAAGCCGGUGGCGAAAGCGGCUCGCUGGUCUGUAACGGACGCGGAGGCUCGAAAGCGUGUGUAGCGAACAGGAUUAGAUACCCGGGUAGUC